GGGCCCGCACAAGCGGUGGAGUAUGUGGUUUAAUUCGAUGCAACGCGAAGAACCUUACCAGGGUUUGACAUCCUGCGAAUCUCUUGGAAACAGGAGAGUGCCUUCGGGAACGCAGUGACAGGUGGUGCAUGGCUGUCGUCAGCUCGUGUCGUGAGAUGUUGGGUUAAGUCCCGCAACGAGCGCAACCCACGUCUUUAGUUGCCAGCAUUUAGUUGGGCACUCUAGAGAGACUGCCGGUGCAAACCGUGAGGAAGGUGGGGAUGACGUCAAAUCAUCACGGCCCUUACGUCCUGGGCUACACACGUGCUACAAUGCUACGGACAAAGGGCAGCAAGUUCGCGAGGACAAGCAAAUCCCAUAAACCGUGGCUCAGUUCAGAUCGUAGGCUGCAACUCGCCUACGUGAAGGCGGAAUCGCUAGUAAUCGCAGGU
This 431-nucleotide ribosomal RNA is filed under the name uncultured bacterium. RNAcentral's name for it is "bacterial SSU rRNA". It matches the Rfam family "Bacterial small subunit ribosomal RNA", at positions 917 to 1349 of the family's 1533-position model. The record is from RNAcentral.